RNAcentral lists this unclassified non-coding RNA (1101 nucleotides) under Hevea brasiliensis (rubber tree). Lineage: Eukaryota; Viridiplantae; Streptophyta; Magnoliopsida; Malpighiales; Euphorbiaceae. The record is from RNAcentral.
CCUUGUAAUCUUGAAGUUUUGAGCUUAAGUAAUUGUGUUGAAUUAGAGAAUCUGCCAUAUAGGCUGCACAGCCUCACAUCUCUCAAAAAUUUGAGCAUCAUUUUUUGUCCAAAACUUGUGUCAUUUCCAGCUGCAGGUUUACCCUGUUGUCUUAAAAGUCUCCAUAUUCCCUAUCUUGACGUCUCUUAAAUAAAAAUCCAGAUAGGAUUCUGCCUCAAGAAACAAAGACGGUAUGAUGAAGGACGAAGGCACUCCACAAAUGAGGUAUUUCUCUUUACACUAUCUGACUUCCAGCCUAUAUUGUAUUUGAUAUGGAGCAAUUUUUUGGCCUAAAAUUGAAACUAAUGGUCACUUCUGUUCAGUUGUAUGGUGUUUCAAACAUAAGAAAAUAAACUUUUUUUUUUUUAAUUUUAGAGAAGUACCUGUAAUUCAUUAAAUGGUCAUAUAGUCAUAGUUAUAUUAUGUUUAUUUGGUGCUAAACUGCUAAUUGACCAUGCAAAAGUGAAAAUUUCUCUAUUGAUGAAGAAUCCUUCAAUUGGACUGCAGAUCAGUUAUUAUGCAACAUCUUGCUAAUGGCAGGACUGGAUACACAGAUGUUCAUUCAUGACAGCUUUUAUUCUUCAUCAUUAUGUUUCUUCUUGAAAUCCUUUUAUUGCAUACGAAAUUUUGGUUAACAGAUGUUUAAUCAUGACAACUUUUGUUCUUCAUCAUUAAGUUUCUGUGUAGACUCCUUCUAUUGUUUGCCUAACUUUGGUUCUAGUGAUAACAAAUUUUUCGUUUAGGUUUUGGCCAUAUUUGGGAGGCCUGAAGAACUAAUGAACUAUGCAUGUCACCUUUUGGUUUCAGCAAAAGGGAAUUUGGAUUGAGCUUAGAGUUGAUGUAAACAGUUAAGAACCAAUCCAUCUAGAGUUCAACCGUUAUUGAUUUGCUUAUGUUUAGAGGUAAGCUUCUGAUUAAGCUAGAUUGGCCCCAGCCCUGGGAGAUGUCAUUGUAACCCCAAAUUGAGUAAUAUUUUACAUGGUAUAUUGUGGAGGAUUCAAGUAUUCUCUCAACAGCAAGAAUUAUGAAAUGGUUCCAUCAGGAUGGUCUGAGCUUGAAAAA